AUAAAAACAUAAAAAGGAGAGGCAGGCAUAAAAACAUAAAAAGGAGAGACAGGCCUAGCCUCCCAGCCUGCAUCUUUCACCCCUGCUGGAUGCCUCCUGCCCUUGAACAUCAGACUCCAAGUUCUUCAGUUUUGGGACUGGCUCUCCUUGCUCCUCAGCUUGCAGAGAGCCUAUUGAGCCUAUUGUGGGACCUUGUGAUCGUAAGCUGAGGACCAGAGGAGUGACUCUCGCACAGCGGCUCGGUGCCUGAGCUGGAAUUCCAACCAGGGCUGUCGCCCUCUAAAGCCCUGCCAUGGCAGUGCUGCCAGCUCACUCUCCUUGGGCUCCCUUCCCACCUCCCACAUCCCCAUGUCCCCAUGGACUCCUGGUGCCACGGCACAGCUGCAUGGGGGUGAUUCAUGCUGGACACCUGAGACACAAGGAGAGGAGGCAGGGAGCUGCCGAAAGAGGUUCAGUUAAAAACUUCCAACAAUGAGGGAAGAUGGGAUUUCCUCAUUUUGGCCAGGCCGGUCUUGAGCUCCUGACUUCAAGUAUUCUGCUCACCUCGGCCUCAGAAAGUACUGGAAUUACAGGCUUGAGCCAUCACGCCCGGCUUCGCUCCUGCUUUUGCCAUGUGACGUGCCUGCUCCCACUUUGCAUUCUGCCAUGAUGUCUCAAAAAUAAAAAUAAAAGUUUAAAAAAAUUGGAAGUUAAAGCUAAAGAAAAUCUUCUAGACUAAGAGAAAAACAAGAUAAAACACUAUAGAAAAAAUGAUAGAUAAUAUAAGGACCUCCAAGUAAUAUGAACUUCCCAAAGAGAGAACAGAAAAAAUGAAGGGAGAGAGUUAUAUAUAUAUAACUGCAGAUAUAUAACUAUAUAUACAUAUCAUUCUAUAUACCUAAGUAUAUAUAUCUAUAGGUAUAACUAUAUAUGUGAUGUGUAUAUAUAUGAAGAAGACAAACAAGAAUGAAGAGAAGAAACAGAAGAAAAUAUCUCAGAGCUAAUGAAAGAUAGUCUUCAGACUGAAAUGGCUGAAUUUAAAGACUACAUCUAUCUAUAUCUGUAUCUAUCUAUCUAUAUAUACACACACACAACACACAUAUACAUAAUAUAAUUACAGAACAAAUAUUUUAAAGAGAAAGGUUUUAAAAGCUUCACAAAUGACGUGGGUAGAGAGAGAGAGAGGCUUCUACAGCAAAUAAAGUCACACACUGGCCUUAGAACUCACAUCAAUAAUGCAGAAGCUAGCAGACAACAGAUCAGUGCUUUCAAAGUUCAGGUGGAGAUGUCUUUGAACCUUAAAUCUUAU
Long non-coding RNA from Homo sapiens (human), 1288 nucleotides. The record is from Ensembl. Lineage: Eukaryota; Metazoa; Chordata; Mammalia; Primates; Hominidae.